Long non-coding RNA from Pantherophis guttatus, 169 nucleotides. RefSeq lists it as uncharacterized. Lineage: Eukaryota; Metazoa; Chordata; Lepidosauria; Squamata; Colubridae. The record is from RefSeq and is a predicted model, not a curated record.
AUGAAAGGUCCUUUCACAUAGCAUGUCUUUCCCAGCUGCUUACCAACUGAGCCACUGAGAGUCUAGCAGCACUUGCUGAAGCUGUUCAACAUGGGAUUUUCUUAGGGGAUUAUGCUGUCAUGCUUCCUAGGAUGGAGAUGCAAUAAAAAAUGUAUAUCUUGGCAAUGUC